Molecule: long non-coding RNA, 2444 nt
Filed under: Prunus persica (peach)
Lineage: Eukaryota; Viridiplantae; Streptophyta; Magnoliopsida; Rosales; Rosaceae
Description: long non-coding RNA (PPER_LNC007158)
Source: RNAcentral
AGCCAAUUUGUACAGAAGGUUCAAACCUUCUAUAUAAAUUGGCUGCUGGAGAGGGUAUAAACCUCAAUUCUGAUAGCCUACCUCAUGUGUUUGUGCUAUCCAUAAUAUUUGAAAGGUCCUGCCUAUUUGAAAGGUCAUAAUUAUUUUCAAUUUACAAGGACUGAACAACAAAACUAACAUGGAUGGUACGCUUGAAAGGCUUUUUCUGCGGGCUAUUUGGGUAACUAAUUUUCCAUCUUUCAUUACAAUAUCAUAGAAAAUUUGGGUUUUCCCCCUCAAAUUUAGUUUUCCUUACGUGCAAGUGCAAUCCAUCAUAGAUAUAAUGACGGAUUGUUCAGUAUAACAGUAUUUCAAAGAAGAAAGAAAAUUGAGCUUGUUAGGUAGCAGUCGAAGCUUUUGAUGUGGUUCCUCAUUUUGGUAUACAUGUCAAACAAGAAAUCCUGUUACGAUUUUAUAUGCACAUAUGUGUUCUGACAUAUCCGAUAGUUGGUCAUUCGAUCGACCUCUCUUGUUAUUUACUCCAUACAGUAAAUAUUUGCAGAGUAUGGGAGCUUUGUAUGUUCAAAUUGGUCUUGGAUAUAUUGGAAUGGUGUUGAAUUUGAAAAUGAUGAAUUUCGGGUCUCGUCUUUCUACAUGUCAGUUUAAAUAUUUGCAGUUAGCAGGGAGGUUUUCUUUGGGAUAUAUAAUAGGCUAGUGCUGAAGCUGGCUCUUUUAUUCGUAAUAUAUAUCGUCUUUCGUAGGAAUUUGGAUUUAUGAGUCUAAUAAAAAAUCAUCAUUUUCCCCUUCUUUUUUUUUUUUUAUAAAAAAAUUAUUAUUCAAAUGGUAAUUGAUAUAAAUUUAGGGAUUUGUUUGUUAUUUUUUAUUUUUAUUUUGCAUUAAAAUAGAAAAAAGUCAUGUUUGUAACUUUUUAUACUCACCUAUGCUUAUGUGUUUUUCGAUCAAAAAUGCUUCUUAUAUGUUUAUUUCCUAAGAUUUUAACACAGCUAAUUUUUAUUGUAACAUUUGAUUUAUUGGUUACUUGAUUUUUAAAUUUUUUGAAUAAUAAUGUACCUAUUUCAUGAUUUAUUAAAAACAGCAUAUCAAAUUUUUUUUAUUUUUAUGAAUGAUAAUAUACCUAUUAAUUUUCUAGUUUACCUGUUAUUUUUAUGGAUAAUAAUAUACCUAUUAUCUUUUUUCAAUAAUAAUUUAUGUAUUAUUUUUUUGUGAUAUUUAAUGUGAAUUUCCAUAUAAUUGACUAAACCCUAGUUAGUCUUUAUGUGCUUAUCGAUACUGUGUUAUGGUGUUGUGUGAUUCAUUACUCGCAAAACAUUAGUUGGUAUAUUAGUAAGUAUAUUAGUAUUAUGUAAAUUGUAUAGGUAAAUAAUUUUAAAGUUUCCAUGCUAUAGUUAAAUAAUUGAAUAAUGCUACUCUUACCAUAUUUAUAUACCACAUCCCUAUACUAUCUUAUGUGGUAGUUGAGCUGAACAGCCACAUCCACUGGCGGAUCUACAGAGGUGCAAGGAGGUGCACCUCCUUUCGCCGGAAAAACCUUUGGAGGUGCUUGAAAAUGCCCCUCUGCUAAUGCCCAUAGCAGCUAUGAUUGCCUUGCGAUGUAAGCUCUAUGAGGCACCGUCAAUGGCUUAUUCCUCUCGAAGAAGAAGACCUAACCCUGACUCAACUUUUGUUUUCCUCUAGGUUUUAAGUGAACGAUAUUAGAUUGAGAUGCGUGGGUUUUUUUUAAUGAAACAAUGUGUUUCGUGUAGUCUGAUUUCAUACAAUAAAGGCACCACCAUUUGGUUUGUAAAAUCCCCUAUUUUACCAAAACUCUGUCUUAUAAUUUAAUUCCAUAUAAUCUCUACCAUUUUCAUUCACCCAAUAGAAUCACUGCACUUAGCCUCUAUUUUAAUGUUUGGAACCUUGCCACUACUAAAGUCAUUUAAUGAAAUCACAAUUUAUGAUCACAAUAUAUAUCUAUAUAUAUUUAUUUAUUUAUUUAUAUAUAUUGUAUAAAAAAAAGUCAUUUUAGUUGUUUUAUAUUUUCUUAAGGUCUGGUAUUUUGUUUCGUCUUCACCACCAUUGUCAGUGUUUCUAUUUUAAUUUUUUAAUUUUUGUUUGUUUGUUAUUUAUUUAUAAUAUGUUUAUUAUUAUAAUAAUAAUUUUUAUUAUUAUUACUGAUUUGGCUCUCUUUGUAAUUUGUAUGAUUAAUACAAUAGCACAUGAAUAGAUGAUCAAUUCCGAUUCAUUUGUUUAAUUGAUAAUUUGAUAUGCAUUUCAAUUAUAUUAAUUGAAAUUAAUUUUUUUAGAUUUUUUUUUUACUAAUUUUUUUAUUUAGAUUAAUCUUCGUUAGAUUCUAAAGGUAUUUGGUUGUUUAAUUAUUUUAUUAUUUUUGAGUUUUUAGUCUUUAUUUAUUGCCCUUUUCCUGAAAAAUUUAUAGAUCCACCACUGAUUGGACAUGACAAAAUAAU